Molecule: ribosomal RNA, 494 nt
Filed under: uncultured bacterium
Lineage: Bacteria
Description: partial 16S ribosomal RNA
Rfam family: Bacterial small subunit ribosomal RNA
Source: RNAcentral
GACGAACGCUGGCGGCGCGCUUAACACAUGCAAGUCGAACGGAAAGGCCUGCUUUCCCUUGUGGAUUGCGGGUACUCGAGUGGCGAACGGGUGAGUAACACGUGAGUGAUCUGCCCCCAACUUGGGUAUAAGCCUGGGAAACUGGGUCUAAUUCCCGAUAGGACUGCAGGGUGGUGCCUGUGGUGGAAAACGAUUUUCAAGUGGUUGGGGAUGAGCUCGCGGCCUAUCAGCUUGUUGGUGGGGUAAUGGCCUACCAAGGCGGCGACGGGUAGCCGGCCUGAGAGGGUGGACGGCCACAUUGGGACUGAGAUACGGCCCAGACUCCUACGGGAGGCAGCAGUGGGGAAUAUUACACAAUGGGCGGAAGCCUGAUGCAGCGACGCCGCGUGGGGGAUGACGGCCUUCGGGUUGUAAACUCCUUUCGACCGCGAGGAAGCCACCUGGUUGGAAGGGUGGUGACGGUAGUGGUAGAAGAAGCACCGGCUAACUACGUG